RNAcentral lists this ribosomal RNA (497 nucleotides) under uncultured bacterium. RNAcentral describes it as "partial 16S ribosomal RNA". It matches the Rfam family "Bacterial small subunit ribosomal RNA", at positions 28 to 507 of the family's 1533-position model. The record is from RNAcentral.
GACGAACGCUGGCGGCGUGCCUAAUACAUGCAAGUUGAGCGCUGAAGGUUGGUACUUGUACCAACUGGAUGAGCAGCGCACGGGUGAGUAACGCGUGGGGAAUCUGCCUUUGAGCAGGGGACAACAUUUGGAAACGAAUGCUAAUACCGCAUAAAAACUUUAAACACAAGUUUUAAGUUUGAAAGAUGCAAUUGCAUCACUCAAAGAUGAUCCCGCGUUGUAUUAGCUAGUUGGUGAGGUAAAGGCUCACCAAGGCGAUGAUACAUAGCCGACCUGAGAGGGUGAUCGGCCACAUUGGGACUGAGACACGGCCCAAACUCCUACGGGAGGCAGCAGUAGGGAAUCUUCGGCAAUGGACGAAAGUCUGACCGAGCAACGCCGCGUGAGUGAAGAAGGUUUUCGGAUCGUAAAACUCUGUUGGUAGAGAAGAACGUUGGUGAGAGUGGAAAGCUCACCAAGUGACGGUAACUACCCAGAAAGGGACGGCUAACUACGUG